Molecule: ribosomal RNA, 467 nt
Filed under: uncultured bacterium
Lineage: Bacteria
Description: partial 16S ribosomal RNA
Rfam family: Bacterial small subunit ribosomal RNA
Source: RNAcentral
ACGCACGCUGGCGGCGUGCUUAACACAUGCAAGUCGCACGGAAAGGCCCUGCUUUUGUGGGGUGCUCGAGUGGCGAACGGGUGAGUAACACGUGAGUAACCUGCCCUUGACUUUGGGAUAACUUCAGGAAACUGGGGCUAAUACCGGAUAGGAGCUCCUGCUGCAUGGUGGGGGUUGGAAAGUUUCGGCGGUUGGGGAUGGACUCGCGGCUUAUCAGCUUGUUGGUGGGGUAGUGGCUUACCAAGGCUUUGACGGGUAGCCGGCCUGAGAGGGUGACCGGCCACAUUGGGACUGAGAUACAGCCCAGACUCCUACGGGAGGCAGCAGUGGGGAAUAUUGCACAAUGGGCGGAAGCCUGAUGCAGCAACGCCGCGUGCGGGAUGACGGCCUUCGGGUUGUAAACCGCUUUCGCCUGUGACGAAGCGUGAGUGACGGUAAUGGGUAAAGAAGCACCGGCUAACUACGUG